CUUUAAUGAGAUGCUGAGGUAAGGAAGGUAGAUUAUGUUGAUGGAGGGCUUAGCAUAUUGCCUUCAGGGUUGUGUUGAAGUCGUGGGCCAGCAAUGCUUGUACGUGGGUUUUAUUUUACAUCGGCAAAUCAAGCAUCUUCUUUGUUAUCUAGAUUCCAGAGUAAUGCGAGUAGUCAUCACGUUUGCCAGGAAUGUUACUAGUGAGGAAUGAACCCUCUGAAAAAGAUAAAAAUAUCGCAGGAAGGAGGAGGCGGUCCUGGCAACAAGCAUCCGGAGCCCCCUGCUGGCAAAGACUAGCAAAGGCCAGUACCAACGGUGCGGGGAAAACGCUGUCACAAAUAAAUAGAGCCAGUCGCAACAGGAGGGUGGAAGUUGCGUUUAUCUUGAUGAUUGGCGGGAGGAAAAGCUGAGAGUCCCCACGGGUGGAGGUUCUGGCUUGCGCCAAAGACAGCUGUGAAAGCUGGGAUGCAUGAAGGCUGCAGGUGACUGAAACAGGAAGCAAAGAAUGAACGUUGGAGUUAAGCCAGCGGCCACAUCACGAACCAAUGAGGCACACGUGUCAGACGACCCCUGUGAAAGAGGCGAUCGACUUCCAGAGGGGUCACGGCCCCUACGUUGAGAACAGGUGCUGGCAGAAGAUACCCGCAUCCGUCAGUGUGGGAACAGCAAAGAAACUCCACAGGAUAAGCUUUACCAACUCUCGCUCCAUGACUGGGAGGAACUUUCCAAAUGUUUCAAAAGUUUGAAUUAAAGAUAUUCAAACGUG
Long non-coding RNA from Peromyscus leucopus (white-footed mouse), 766 nucleotides. RefSeq lists it as uncharacterized. The transcript is spliced from 2 exons. Lineage: Eukaryota; Metazoa; Chordata; Mammalia; Rodentia; Cricetidae. The record is from RefSeq and is a predicted model, not a curated record.